CAGUCGGUAACACGUAGGGGGCGAGCGUUGUCCGAAGUUACUGGGCGUAAAGCGCGCGUAGGCGGCUUCUUAAGUCUGAGGUGAAAGGUUCAACGCUUAACGUGAACAGUGCCUUGGAUACUGGGGAGCUUGAGUAUGGGAGAGGGCAGUGGAAUGGCUGGUGUAGCGGUGAGAUGCGUAGAUAUCAGUCGGAACACCCAUGGCGAAGGCAGCUGCCUGGCCUAAUACUGACGCUGAGGUGCGAAAGCGUGGGGAGCGAACGGGAUUAGAUACCCCCGUAGUCCCUGUCUAUUAUACACAU
This 301-nucleotide ribosomal RNA is filed under the name uncultured bacterium. Its description in RNAcentral is "partial 16S ribosomal RNA". It matches the Rfam family "Bacterial small subunit ribosomal RNA", at positions 512 to 816 of the family's 1533-position model. The record is from RNAcentral.